RNAcentral lists this transfer RNA (72 nucleotides) under Heterocephalus glaber (naked mole-rat). It matches the Rfam family "tRNA". Rfam says of the family: Transfer RNA (tRNA) molecules are approximately 80 nucleotides in length. Their secondary structure includes four short double-helical elements and three loops (D, anti-codon, and T loops). Lineage: Eukaryota; Metazoa; Chordata; Mammalia; Rodentia; Bathyergidae. The record is from Rfam by way of RNAcentral.
UGGGAUGUAGCUCAGUGGUAGAGCACUUGCCUAGCAUUCAUGAGGUUCUGAGUUUGAUACCCAGCAUCUAAC